AGAGAGCUUGCUCUCGGGUGACGAGCGGCGGACGGGUGAGUAAUGUCUGGGAAACUGCCUGAUGGAGGGGGAUAACUACUGGAAACGGUAGCUAAUACCGCAUAACGUCGCAAGACCAAAGUGGGGGACCUUCGGGCCUCAUGCCAUCAGAUGUGCCCAGAUGGGAUUAGCUAGUAGGUGGGGUAACGGCUCACCUAGGCGACGAUCCCUAGCUGGUCUGAGAGGAUGACCAGCCACACUGGAACUGAGACACGGUCCAGACUCCUACGGGAGGCAGCAGUGGGGAAUAUUGCACAAUGGGCGCAAGCCUGAUGCAGCCAUGCCGCGUGUAUGAAGAAGGCCUUCGGGUUGUAAAGUACUUUCAGCGGGGAGGAAGGCGAUAAGGUUAAUAACCUUGUCGAUUGACGUUACCCGCAGAAGAAGCACCGGCUAACUCCGUGCCAGCAGCCGCGGUAAUACGGAGGGUGCAAGCGUUAAUCGGAAUUACUGGGCGUAAAGCGCACGCAGGCGGUCUGUCAAGUCGGAUGUGAAAUCCCCGGGCUCAACCUGGGAACUGCAUUCGAAACUGGCAGGCUAGAGUCUUGUAGAGGGGGGUAGAAUUCCAGGUGUAGCGGUGAAAUGCGUAGAGAUCUGGAGGAAUACCGGUGGCGAAGGCGGCCCCCUGGACAAAGACUGACGCUCAGGUGCGAAAGCGUGGGGAGCAAACAGGAUUAGAUACCCUGGUAGUCCACGCCGUAAACGAUGUCGAUUUGGAGGUUGUGCCCUUGAGGCGUGGCUUCCGGAGCUAACGCGUUAAAUCGACCGCCUGGGGAGUACGGCCGCAAGGUUAAAACUCAAAUGAAUUGACGGGGGCCCGCACAAGCGGUGGAGCAUGUGGUUUAAUUCGAUGCAACGCGAAGAACCUUACCUGGUCUUGACAUCCACAGAACUUACCAGAGAUGCUUUGGUGCCUUCGGGAACUGUGAGACAGGUGCUGCAUGGCUGUCGUCAGCUCGUGUUGUGAAAUGGUUGGGUUAAGUCCCGCAACGAGCGCAACCCUUAUCCUUUGUUGCCAGCGGUCCGGCCGGGAACUCAAAGGAGACUGCCAGUGAUAAACUGGAGGAAGGUGGGGAUGACGUCAAGUCAUCAUGGCCCUUACGACCAGGGCUACACACGUGCUACAAUGGCAUAUACAAAGAGAAGCGACCUCGCGAGAGCAAGCGGACCUCAUAAAGUAUGUCGUAGUCCGGAUUGGAGUCUGCAACUCGACUCCAUGAAGUCGGAAUCGCUAGUAAUCGUAGAUCAGAAUGCUACGGUGAAUACGUUCCCGGGCCUUGUACACACCGCCCGUCACACCAUGGGAGUGGGUUGCAAAAGAAGUAGGUAGCUU
RNAcentral lists this ribosomal RNA (1369 nucleotides) under Klebsiella quasipneumoniae. RNAcentral describes it as "bacterial SSU rRNA". It matches the Rfam family "Bacterial small subunit ribosomal RNA", at positions 73 to 1436 of the family's 1533-position model. Lineage: Bacteria; Pseudomonadati; Pseudomonadota; Gammaproteobacteria; Enterobacterales; Enterobacteriaceae. The record is from RNAcentral.